GGAUGACACUAAAAUGUAUCAUUUCCUAAGGAGAAUGACAGCAAUUAAGGAACGGGGGCCUCAACCUCAGAGAUGGACUUUUAGAGAAAGUAAUGGAACAAGCUGGAUAUCAGAUCUCCCUCAGCCUCCAUCACUGCGGAGACGGGACUUUUCUUGUACCCAGAACUCUCAAGUGGGUCAAAUUUGCACAACCUUUGUGAAAGGUGUUUCUGGGAGUUGAUGGGUAAGUUCAGUGUUGAGGAUUAUUAG
This 249-nucleotide long non-coding RNA is filed under the name Fukomys damarensis (Damara mole-rat). RNAcentral describes it as "lncRNA (ENSFDAG00000031970.1)". Lineage: Eukaryota; Metazoa; Chordata; Mammalia; Rodentia; Bathyergidae. The record is from RNAcentral.